Molecule: ribosomal RNA, 460 nt
Filed under: uncultured bacterium
Lineage: Bacteria
Description: partial 16S ribosomal RNA
Rfam family: Bacterial small subunit ribosomal RNA
Source: RNAcentral
CCUACGGGAGGCAGCAGUGAGGAAUAUUGGUCAAUGGGCGCGAGCCUGAACCAGCCAAGUCGCGUGAGGGAAGACGGUCCUAUGGAUUGUAAACCUCUUUUGUCGGGGAGCAAAAGACGCCACGCGUGGCGUUCCGAGAGUACCCGAAGAAAAAGCAUCGGCUAACUCCGUGCCAGCAGCCGCGGUAAUACGGAGGAUGCGAGCGUUAUCCGGAUUUAUUGGGUUUAAAGGGAGCGUAGAUGGGUUGUUAAGUCAGUUGUGAAAGUUUGCGGCUCAACCGUAAAAUUGCAAUUGAUACUGGCAGCCGUGAGUACAGUUGAGGGAGGCGGAAGUCGUGGUGUAGCAGUGAAAUGCGUAGAUAUCGAGAGGAACACUCGUGGCGAAGGCGGGUUCCUGGACAUUAACUGACGCUGAGGCACGAAGGCCAGGGGAGCGAAAGGGAUUAGAUACCCGAGUAGUC